This 253-nucleotide ribosomal RNA is filed under the name uncultured bacterium. Its description in RNAcentral is "partial 16S ribosomal RNA". It matches the Rfam family "Bacterial small subunit ribosomal RNA", at positions 524 to 776 of the family's 1533-position model. The record is from RNAcentral.
UACGUAGGGGGCAAGCGUUGUCCGGAAUCAUUGGGCGUAAAGCGCGCGUAGGCGGCCCGGUAAGUCCGCUGUGAAAGUCCAGGGCUCAACCCUGGAAAGCCGGUGGAUACUGCCGGGCUAGAGUCCGGAAGAGGCGAGUGGAAUUCCUGGUGUAGCGGUGGAAUGCGCAGAUAUCAGGAGGAACACCAAGAGCGAAGGCAGCUCGCUGGGACGGUACUGACGCUGAGGUGCGAAAGCGUGGGGAGCAAACAGG